This 135-nucleotide non-coding RNA is filed under the name Achromobacter xylosoxidans. Its description in RNAcentral is "SAH sequence". It matches the Rfam family "SAH (S-adenosyl-L-homocysteine) riboswitch aptamer". Lineage: Bacteria; Pseudomonadati; Pseudomonadota; Betaproteobacteria; Burkholderiales; Alcaligenaceae. The record is from RNAcentral.
AAUCCUGAGGAGCGUUGCGACGACCCUGCGGUUCCCGCCAGCUUGUACGGCUGCGGAACCAGGCUCGCCAGGCUCAGGAAUCCUUGUUCAAGCGGCGCGCUUUGCGCGGCGCUACAGCAACGGCGCUCACCUUUG